CAGCUUCUCAAAAUAUUUGCCUGAAAUCCAGAAAUGGCUCUCAAUCAAUAGGGGAGUGCUUUUAGGCAUCCAAAGCAAUAAAUAUAUCAUUAAAAUAGAGAAGCUAAAAUACUUAAAAUAAAAAAUUACUCAUAACCACCAGAAGAAUUUUGUCAGGAACAAAAGCCAGCAAUUGCAUUUGUUGAAACAGAAAAGAGUCAAAACCCCAAAUUUCUAGAAAAAUCCUAAAUGCUUCAAAUAUCAACCGACAAUUCAGUGGAUUGCAACAAAGACACCAAGUUAAGGUCGGGG
This 291-nucleotide unclassified non-coding RNA is filed under the name Hevea brasiliensis (rubber tree). The record is from RNAcentral. Lineage: Eukaryota; Viridiplantae; Streptophyta; Magnoliopsida; Malpighiales; Euphorbiaceae.